CGGAAUGUAGCGCAGCUUGGUAGCGCACUAGCAUGGGGUGCUAGGGGUCGCUGGUUCGAAUCCAGUCAUUCCGA
Molecule: transfer RNA, 74 nt
Filed under: Saprospiraceae bacterium
Lineage: Bacteria; Pseudomonadati; Bacteroidota; Saprospiria; Saprospirales; Saprospiraceae
Description: tRNA-Pro
Rfam family: tRNA
About the family: Transfer RNA (tRNA) molecules are approximately 80 nucleotides in length. Their secondary structure includes four short double-helical elements and three loops (D, anti-codon, and T loops). Further hydrogen bonds mediate the characteristic L-shaped molecular structure. tRNAs have two regions of fundamental functional importance: the anti-codon, which is responsible for specific mRNA codon recognition, and the 3' end, to which the tRNAs corresponding amino acid is attached (by aminoacyl-tRNA synthetases). tRNAs cope with the degeneracy of the genetic code in two manners: having more than one tRNA (with a specific anti-codon) for a particular amino acid; and 'wobble' base-pairing, i.e. permitting non-standard base-pairing at the 3rd anti-codon position.
Source: RNAcentral